RNAcentral lists this ribosomal RNA (117 nucleotides) under Sinocyclocheilus grahami. The record is from RNAcentral. Lineage: Eukaryota; Metazoa; Chordata; Actinopteri; Cypriniformes; Cyprinidae.
GUCAGCAGCCAUAUCACUCUGCAGCCCAAGACUGGUUGCCCACUGAAGCUAAGCAGGGUUGAGCCUGGUCAGUACCUGGAUGGGAGACCUCCUGGGAAAACUAGGUUGCUGUUGGAA